AUGCAGUUCCAAAGGCCUCCUUCCCCGAGACAAUGGAACCACACACACAGAAUUUCAAGGGCUCUCCUCCUCCUGCGCCAUCAUGGUCUCUCCUGUGAUCUUUGGAACAGCUGACGAUCUUAUCUGACUGGGCUCAAGACUGCUGAAUUGAUGGGCGACACGUCUGCCUCCCCCUCUCUGCCUUGCUUUGCUCUCUAUACUGCCUAACAGAGCUCCCCAGUCCGCCUUGAGACCUCACUCCCACCUUCCAGCGGCUCUCAACCCCGACGACUCAGCGCCUCCGCGGUAGCCCUGGCUGUGUCCCGUCUGAGUCUGCGCGGCGCGGCCUCCAGGCAGACCCUCCCUCCCUUUCUUCCUCCCAGCGGGUUCUGUGUGCAGCGACCGCUACUUGAGCUAUUUCAUAAGGAAAUGCUUGUUAGUGAGAAUUUGCAGGGACCCGGCCGAGUGAGGAGGGAGCUGAGUGCGCGCGCGUGCCCCGACCUAGUGGAGAGGGAUGGCGUCCGAGCGGUAGAGAACUCCACGCUGGCCGAGUGUAUUCCUCGCGCCUGUCCUCGUCUCCUGAAUCGCUGUAGACGCAUGGGAGCAUGGGAGCAGGGGAAGCCAAGAAACCUCUGGAACCUGGUGGGAGGACCGAUGCCACCAGAGGCUGGCAGGACCAGAGCAGGCCAAGCACGGCCUCUCCAAACCUCAAGCUCAGAUGUCUGGGACAAACACCUUUGCUACAGAAGAGACUCCAAAAUAUGCCGCAUUGAUAUGUUGAUUAUCUUGAGCUGAAGGCGCUUGGAAAACAAUAAAUGCUCAUAGAGGUUGUCUCUGAAACCCCACCCUCCCCCUUCUCUGCUUCAGACAGACCCGGCAAAACGACCUGAACCGUCAUCAGUCCCCUCCCGGGCAUUUCAUCAGUCCCAGGAGAGGAGACGAGAGGGUGGCAUCACACCCAGGCAGACUUUGUCACAAACUGUCAUAUCUCCCCUCUAGUCUAAGGGCCCAGUCACCCUUCCUAAAAUCAUUUGCUCCAAGAGGCCGAGGUCCCUGUAGGGCAAGUGGAGGCCGUCGGGCUUCCUCACUCAGGCGUCUGGGUCACUAAGGGAAGCAGUUUCUCACAACCAUGAAGGGGCCUGAUAAAGCAGUGUUCUCACAGCCCUGAGCCUGGGUCUCACAGCCUUGAGUCUGGGUCCGAUAAACGGUUCCCAUUACAUGAAGUGGACUCGCGUGCACAGCUCCUGCUGUGUUACUUAACUUUUUGGCCUGAGACCGGCUUUCUUUGUGCUUAUACUUGAGAAGGUAGGGGCUUCCCACUGGGUGCGCAGAGGUAGACAUGGGCUUGUGGCCUGCGUGGCUCCCUCAAAUAAAUGCAUGUUAGACACCCAACGGCCCUGUGAACAUUGUUCCGUCUGCACGAAUCCCAUGAACCUGUCUGGCCCUGAUCGGUCACAACACAGUCCCCACGCCCAUUUUCCAGUUAAGAUGUAUACAAGCUCCAAAAUAUUUUGGGGGGUAUUCACCUUUUUUCCCCUGUGA
Pteronotus mesoamericanus is the source of this 1521-nucleotide long non-coding RNA. RefSeq lists it as uncharacterized. The record is from RefSeq and is a predicted model, not a curated record. The transcript has 5 exons. Lineage: Eukaryota; Metazoa; Chordata; Mammalia; Chiroptera; Mormoopidae.